Molecule: ribosomal RNA, 440 nt
Filed under: uncultured bacterium
Lineage: Bacteria
Description: partial 16S ribosomal RNA
Rfam family: Bacterial small subunit ribosomal RNA
Source: RNAcentral
CCUACGGGUGGCAGCAGUGGGGAAUAUUGCACACUGGGGGAAACCCUGAUGCAGCGACGCCGCGUGAGUGAAGAAGUAAUUCGUUAUGUAAAGCUCUAUCAGCAGGUCAGAAAAUGACGGUACCUGCGUAAGACGCCCCGGCUAACUACGUGCCAGCCGCCGCGGUAAUACGUAUGGGGCAAGCGUUAUCCGGAAUCACUGGGUGGAAAGUGAACGUAGACGGCUGUGCAAGCCUGACGUGAAAGGCGGGGGCCCAACCCCUGGACUGCUUUGGGAACUGUACGGCUGGAGUGCAGGAGAGGUAAGUAGAAUUCCUAGUGUAGCGGUGAAAUGCGUAGAUAUUAGGAGGAACACCAGUGGCGAAGGCGGCUUACUGGACUGUAACUGACGUUGAGGCUCGAAAGCGUGGGGAGCAAACAGGAUUAGAUACCCCAGUAGUC